RNAcentral lists this transfer-messenger RNA (350 nucleotides) under Syntrophomonadaceae bacterium. It matches the Rfam family "transfer-messenger RNA". Rfam says of the family: Bacterial tmRNA, also known as 10Sa RNA or SsrA, is named for its dual tRNA and mRNA-like properties. The record is from RNAcentral. RNAcentral also lists the same sequence under 1 other name. Lineage: Bacteria; Bacillati; Bacillota; Clostridia; Eubacteriales; Syntrophomonadaceae.
GGGGGCGUACUGGUUUCGACGGGGGAAGUUGGAGCAAAGGCAGCGAGCCGGGAUCCCACCAGCCCGAAAAACGGUGGAAAAACAAUAACUGCCAACAACGAAUUAGCUUACGCUGCUUAAUUAAGCAGCGCGUCCGCCCGGCCUCGCCUGCGGGCCGGUAGCGGGCGUCAUACAGCAGGCUCACCCGUUUCCUCCUGCUCUCCGGGGAUGAAACGGGAUACCUACGGAGAUAGCCCGAUGAGAGCCUGUCGGCGGGCGCUCUGACGGCGAAUUGAAAACACCGACUGCGCUCGGAGAAACCUUUGUGGCCGUUCUUCCGGACAGGGGUUCGACUCCCCUCGCCUCCACCA